GCAACUGGUGUGGAUAGUCCAACACUCA
This 28-nucleotide small RNA is filed under the name Bombyx mori (domestic silkworm). RNAcentral describes it as "ovarian small RNA-16238". Lineage: Eukaryota; Metazoa; Arthropoda; Insecta; Lepidoptera; Bombycidae. The record is from RNAcentral.